UGAGGAAUAUUGGUCAAUGGACGGAAGUCUGAACCAGCCAUGCCGCGUGCAGGAUGACGGCUCUAUGAGUUGUAAACUGCUUUUGUACGAGGGUAACCCCGGGUACGUGUACCCGGCUGAAAGUAUCGUACGAAUAAGGAUCGGCUAACUCCGUGCCAGCAGCCGCGGUAAUACGGAGGAUCCAAGCGUUAUCCGGAUUUAUUGGGUUUAAAGGGUGCGUAGGCGGUUAGAUAAGUUAGAGGUGAAAUUCCGGUGCUUAACACCGGCGCUGCCUCUAAUACUGUUUGACUAGAGAGUAGUUGCGGUAGGCGGAAUGUAUGGUGUAGCGGUGAAAUGCUUAGAGAUCAUACAGAACACCGAUUGCGAAGGCAGCUUACCAAGCUAUAUCUGACGUUGAGGC
RNAcentral lists this ribosomal RNA (400 nucleotides) under uncultured bacterium. RNAcentral's name for it is "bacterial SSU rRNA". It matches the Rfam family "Bacterial small subunit ribosomal RNA", at positions 355 to 752 of the family's 1533-position model. The record is from RNAcentral.